This 497-nucleotide ribosomal RNA is filed under the name uncultured bacterium. RNAcentral describes it as "partial 16S ribosomal RNA". It matches the Rfam family "Bacterial small subunit ribosomal RNA", at positions 28 to 507 of the family's 1533-position model. The record is from RNAcentral.
GAUGAACGCUGGCGGCGUGCCUAAUACAUGCAAGUCGAGCGAACAGACGAGGAGCUUGCUCCUCUGACGUUAGCGGCGGACGGGUGAGUAACACGUGGAUAACCUACCUAUAAGACUGGGAUAACUUCGGGAAACCGGAGCUAAUACCGGAUAAUAUAUCGAACCGCAUGGUUCAAUAGUGAAAGACGGUUUUGCUGUCACUUAUAGAUGGAUCCGCGCCGCAUUAGCUAGUUGGUAAGGUAACGGCUUACCAAGGCGACGAUGCGUAGCCGACCUGAGAGGGUGAUCGGCCACACUGGAACUGAGACACGGUCCAGACUCCUACGGGAGGCAGCAGUAGGGAAUCUUCCGCAAAGGGCGAAAGCCUGACGGAGCAACGCCGCGUGAGUGAUGAAGGUCUUCGGAUCGUAAAACUCUGUUAUUAGGGAAGAACAAAUGUGUAAGUAACUAUGCACGUCUUGACGGUACCUAAUCAGAAAGCCACGGCUAACUACGUG